AACGAACGCUGGCGGCAUGCCUAACACAUGCAAGUCGAACGAGACCUUCGGGUCUAGUGGCGCACGGGUGCGUAACGCGUGGGAACCUGCCCUUAGGCUCGGAAUAACCCCCCGAAAGGGGUGCUAAUACCGGAUAAUGUCUUCGGACCAAAGAUUUAUCGCCUUUGGAUGGGCCCGCGUUGGAUUAGCUAGUUGGUAGGGUAAAAGCCUACCAAGGCGACGAUCCAUAGCUGGUCUGAGAGGAUGAUCAGCCACACUGGGACUGAGACACGGCCCAGACUCCUACGGGAGGCAGCAGUGGGGAAUAUUGGACAAUGGGCGAAAGCCUGAUCCAGCAAUGCCGCGUGAGUGAUGAAGGCCUUAGGGUUGGAAAGCUCUUUUACCCGGGAUGAUAAUGACAGUACCGGGAGAAUAAGCUCCGGCUAACUCCGUG
RNAcentral lists this ribosomal RNA (433 nucleotides) under uncultured bacterium. RNAcentral describes it as "partial 16S ribosomal RNA". It matches the Rfam family "Bacterial small subunit ribosomal RNA", at positions 29 to 507 of the family's 1533-position model. The record is from RNAcentral.